AGAAAUCACCACAAAACUCCAUUCCACUUCUUGCAAAAGAGCCAACAUCUCAAAAUGAUGCAAUUGCAGCCCUACAUGUUUGUUUGUUUGCUUAUUUUAUCCAGACAGGUUUUUGCAGGAAGGGGCUUUUGCAGCACAAACAGCGCCACUGUAUCAACCAGGAGCUGAGUGGAACCGUGGAGCCGCUUGGAAGUUGCCUCAUCUCCCAGCAAAUGAGAAACGGAGGGAAACACCAACGCAGGCGACACUGCACCUUGCAGCAGAGACUCGUGUGUCCUACAAGUCACCUUGCAUCAAGAUACAGACCCACAACAGCAGCCUGACGGGUGCAAUGAGGAGGAGGAGGAGGACAGCGAGGGCAACAGGAAAACAUGAGUAUGAAGCCAAGUUUGCAAGACCAGAGGCUGAAAUCCUCUCCCAGGUUGCAGCAGUUGGUACAGCACAGCUGCGCAAGCCACAGGAUGCUUCCCUACUUUCAACUUGAGCAGCUCCAACAGCAAGGGAACAAGCCUUCUCUCAUUCCACCCAAAA
Long non-coding RNA from Taeniopygia guttata (zebra finch), 531 nucleotides. RefSeq lists it as uncharacterized. NCBI's taxonomy places the organism in Eukaryota, Metazoa, Chordata, Aves, Passeriformes, Estrildidae. The record is from RefSeq and is a predicted model, not a curated record.